Molecule: ribosomal RNA, 495 nt
Filed under: uncultured bacterium
Lineage: Bacteria
Description: partial 16S ribosomal RNA
Rfam family: Bacterial small subunit ribosomal RNA
Source: RNAcentral
UGAACGCUGGCGGCGUGCCUAAUACAUGCACGUCGAGCGAACAGACGAGGAGCUUGCUCCUCUGACGUUAGCGGCGGACGGGUGAGUAACACGUGGAUAACCUACCUAUAAGACUGGGAUAACUUCGGGAAACCGGAGCUAAUACCGGAUAAUAUAUUGAACCGCAUGGUUCAAUAGUGAAAGACGGUUUUGCUGUCACUUAUAGAUGGAUCCGCGCCGCAUUAGCUAGUUGGUAAGGUAACGGCUUACCAAGGCAACGAUGCGUAGCCGACCUGAGAGGGUGAUCGGCCACACUGGAACUGAGACACGGUCCAGACUCCUACGGGAGGCAGCAGUAGGGAAUCUUCCGCAAUGGGCGAAAGCCUGACGGAGCAACGCCGCGUGAGUGAUGAAGGUCUUCGGAUCGUAAAACUCUGUUAUUAGGGAGGAACAAAUGUGUAAGUAACUAUGCACGUCUUGACGGUACCUAAUCAGAAAGCCACGGCUAACUACGUG